This 644-nucleotide ribosomal RNA is filed under the name uncultured bacterium. RNAcentral's name for it is "bacterial SSU rRNA". The stretch from base 1 to 539 matches the Rfam family "Bacterial small subunit ribosomal RNA", at positions 338 to 873 of the family's 1533-position model. The record is from RNAcentral.
CCUACGGGAGGCAGCAGUAAGGAAUAUUGGUCAAUGGACGAAAGUCUGAACCAGCCAUGCCGCGUGAAGGAUUAAGGCCCUCUGGGUUGUAAACUUCUUUUAUCUGGGACGAAAAAAGGGUAUUCUUACUCACUUGACGGUACCAGAGGAAUAAGCACCGGCUAACUCCGUGCCAGCAGCCGCGGUAAUACGGAGGGUGCAAGCGUUAUCCGGAUUUACUGGGUUUAAAGGGUGCGUAGGUGGGCUUGUAAGUCAGUGGUGAAAUCUCCGGGCUUAACCCGGAAACUGCCAUUGAUACUAUAGGUCUUGAAUUAUCUGGAGGUAAGCGGAAUAUGUCAUGUAGCGGUGAAAUGCUUAGAUAUGACAUAGAACACCAAUUGCGAAGGCAGCUUACUACGGAUAUAUUGACACUGAGGCGCGAAAGCGUGGGGAUCAAACAGGAUUAGAUACCCUGGUAGUCCACGCCCUAAACGAUGGAUACUCGACAUCAGCGAUACACUGUUGGUUGUUCGUGUAGCGAAGACAUUAAGUUAUCCACCGUACGGAAGGUACGAGUCGCGAAGUAGUUAGUUAAACGUUACUAAAGUUAGUUAAGUUAGUUACGGCGUUGAGACGUUGCCGACGGACGACGACGAGGGAGGAGG